CAGCAGGGUAGCAAUAUCGCUGGCGACCGGCGCACGGGUGCGUAACACGUAUAUAAUCUGCCUUUUACAGGGGGAUAGCCUUUCGAAAGAGAGAUUAAUACCCCAUAACAGUUGACUGGGCAUCCAGUUGAUUUGAAAGUUCCGACGGUAAAAGAUGAGUAUGCGUCUGAUUAGCUAGUAGGUGAGGUAACGGCUCACCUAGGCAACGAUCAGUAGGGGAUCUGAGAGGAUUAACCCCCACACGGAUACUGAGACACGGAUCCGACUCC
RNAcentral lists this ribosomal RNA (269 nucleotides) under uncultured bacterium. Its description in RNAcentral is "partial 16S ribosomal RNA". It matches the Rfam family "Bacterial small subunit ribosomal RNA", at positions 70 to 339 of the family's 1533-position model. The record is from RNAcentral.